RNAcentral lists this ribosomal RNA (117 nucleotides) under Danio rerio (zebrafish). Lineage: Eukaryota; Metazoa; Chordata; Actinopteri; Cypriniformes; Danionidae. The record is from RNAcentral.
AGCCACAGCCAUAUCACCCUGCAGCCCAAGACCGGUUACUCACUGAAGCUAAGCAGGGCUGAGCCUGGUCAGUAUCUGGAUGGGAGACCACUAGGGAACACUAGGUUGCUGUUGGAA